RNAcentral lists this non-coding RNA (21 nucleotides) under Arabidopsis thaliana (thale cress). The record is from RNAcentral. Lineage: Eukaryota; Viridiplantae; Streptophyta; Magnoliopsida; Brassicales; Brassicaceae. RNAcentral also lists the same sequence under 2 other names.
CACAGGGAUAACUGGCUUGUG